AGAGUUUGAUCAUGGCUCAGAUUGAACGCUGGCGGCAGGCCUAACACAUGCAAGUCGAGCGGUAGCACAGAGAGCUUGCUCUCGGGUGACGAGCGGCGGACGGGUGAGUAAUGUCUGGGAAACUGCCUGAUGGAGGGGGAUAACUACUGGAAACGGUAGCUAAUACCGCAUAACGUCGCAAGACCAAAGUGGGGGACCUUCGGGCCUCAUGCCAUCAGAUGUGCCCAGAUGGGAUUAGCUAGUAGGUGGGGUAACGGCUCACCUAGGCGACGAUCCCUAGCUGGUCUGAGAGGAUGACCAGCCACACUGGAACUGAGACACGGUCCAGACUCCUACGGGAGGCAGCAGUGGGGAAUAUUGCACAAUGGGCGCAAGCCUGAUGCAGCCAUGCCGCGUGUGUGAAGAAGGCCUUCGGGUUGUAAAGCACUUUCAGCGGGGAGGAAGGCGGUGAGGUUAAUAACCUCAUCGAUUGACGUUACCCGCAGAAGAAGCACCGGCUAACUCCGUGCCAGCAGCCGCGGUAAUACGGAGGGUGCAAGCGUUAAUCGGAAUUACUGGGCGUAAAGCGCACGCAGGCGGUCUGUCAAGUCGGAUGUGAAAUCCCCGGGCUUAACCUGGGAACUGCAUUCGAAACUGGCAGGCUAGAGUCUUGUAGAGGGGGGUAGAAUUCCAGGUGUAGCGGUGAAAUGCGUAGAGAUCUGGAGGAAUACCGGUGGCGAAGGCGGCCCCCUGGACAAAGACUGACGCUCAGGUGCGAAAGCGUGGGGAGCAAACAGGAUUAGAUACCCUGGUAGUCCACGCCGUAAACGAUGUCGAUUUGGAGGUUGUGCCCUUGAGGCGUGGCUUCCGGAGCUAACGCGUUAAAUCGACCGCCUGGGGAGUACGGCCGCAAGGUUAAAACUCAAAUGAAUUGACGGGGGCCCGCACAAGCGGUGGAGCAUGUGGUUUAAUUCGAUGCAACGCGAAGAACCUUACCUGGUCUUGACAUCCACAGAACUUAGCAGAGAUGCUUUGGUGCCUUCGGGAACUGUGAGACAGGUGCUGCAUGGCUGUCGUCAGCUCGUGUUGUGAAAUGUUGGGUUAAGUCCCGCAACGAGCGCAACCCUUAUCCUUUGUUGCCAGCGGUUAGGCCGGGAACUCAAAGGAGACUGCCAGUGAUAAACUGGAGGAAGGUGGGGAUGACGUCAAGUCAUCAUGGCCCUUACGACCAGGGCUACACACGUGCUACAAUGGCAUAUACAAAGAGAAGCGACCUCGCGAGAGCAAGCGGACCUCAUAAAGUAUGUCGUAGUCCGGAUUGGAGUCUGCAACUCGACUCCAUGAAGUCGGAAUCGCUAGUAAUCGUAGAUCAGAAUGCUACGGUGAAUACGUUCCCGGGCCUUGUACACACCGCCCGUCACACCAUGGGAGUGGGUUGCAAAAGAAGUAGGUAGCUUAACCUUCGGGAGGGCGCUUACCACUUUGUGAUUCAUGACUGGGGUGAAGUCGUAACAAGGUAACCGUAGGGGAACCUGCGGUUGGAUCACCU
Molecule: ribosomal RNA, 1528 nt
Filed under: Klebsiella pneumoniae
Lineage: Bacteria; Pseudomonadati; Pseudomonadota; Gammaproteobacteria; Enterobacterales; Enterobacteriaceae
Description: bacterial SSU rRNA
Rfam family: Bacterial small subunit ribosomal RNA
Source: RNAcentral